This 987-nucleotide unclassified non-coding RNA is filed under the name Hevea brasiliensis (rubber tree). Lineage: Eukaryota; Viridiplantae; Streptophyta; Magnoliopsida; Malpighiales; Euphorbiaceae. The record is from RNAcentral.
UUGCAUACAUGCACAGAAAUGCCCUUUCUCUCUCUUCUGGCUUGUUCUCGUCCCACCAUACAGAUAGUCUCGCAGUCGAACCCCUGUAUUUCGUUCUACAAUUUUGGUUUUUCCUCUGCUUUUGUUUUCAUCAUCAAGUUUCAACAAAAGAAAUUGCAGUUUCUGCACCUCCAACUGCAACCGCCCAAUCUUUUCAGAACCUCUUCUUGCCUGUUCCGAAAUUCUUCUCUUUCUGACACUUCCAUUCUCAUCCGAUGCCAAUGCAGAUUUCUCAUCAAUGGACAAUGGUUCAUCUUCAAUGCUCUUCAUUAAUUUGCGAUUCACGUCAAACAACUUCGUUAUCGCCUCCUCAGACUCUUCCAACUGCCCUUUCACGCUAUCAUAUUCAAUACCUUUUCCCUUCUUGUUCUUCUCUGUGAUCUCCACCUUCCUCUUCAUGUCUUGCACGGUUAUUUGAAGAUUAGUUAACUUUUGUGCAUCAGAAUCAAGUCUUUCUAGAAUUUUCCUCUCAUUCACUUCUUGACGAGACCCUGACAAUCUCUUUGAGAUCUCCAACUUGUCCACACUAACAUGCUUCUCAACCAUUGAUUCCAUAGAAGGAUCCUCCUUGUUGCGCUUCUUCUCAGUCGAUGCAGCAGUCUCCUUCUGAGCCUUUCCAACAGUAAGGUCAAUGCUGGCAUCCUGGUCGGUAGUAGUUUCCCAUAUUUCAAGCAUCUGAUCAUCAGCCUCUACAGUCUCCCUUCUGCUGAUCCCAUAUGAUGAACACUCAGAUAUCUGAUCAAGCAUUAUGUCUUUCGUCAUCACUCCAUUCCCCUCUUCAGCGUUUUCAUGUGUUCGCUUCUGAAGCCUGAGAUUAUUAUCAGGAUCAGAUCCCAGUUCCUUGUCAUCUGGAUUUUGAUUCCCAUGCUUGCCUGCUUCAACAGCUUCUCCAUGUAAGCUGCUUUCGGAUUUCAUCUCUUCAAUCUGUCUAAUUGCAUCAGCAAGUUU